GGUAAAAAAGCUCGUAGUUGGAUUUCUGUUGAGGAGGACUGGUCUGUGCCACGCACAUGCAUCUAGCUCCGCCUCGGCAUCAUCUCGAUUUGGAUUUCUGCGCUUAGUCGCGUGGAGUUUGUAUCGGGACUUUUACUUUGAGGAAAUUAGAGUGUUCACGGCAGGCUAUCGCCAGAAUACAUUAGCAUGGAAUAAUACUAUAGGAUCUCGAUUCUAUUUUGUUGGUUUCUAGAAGCGAGAUAAUGAUUAAUAGGGACAAUUGGGGGCAUUCGUAUCAACACGUCAGAGGUGGAAUUCUUGGAUUGUGUUGCGACGAACUACUGCGAAAGCAUUUGCCAAGGAUGUUUUCAUUGAUCAAGAACGAAAGUAAGGGGAUCGAAGACGAUUAGAUACCGUCGUAGUCUUUACCAUAAACUAUGCCAACUAGAGAUGGGACAUCGUUCGCUUACGACUUGUUCCGCACCUUAUGAGAUAUCAAAGUUUUUGGGUUCCGGGGGGAGUAUGGUCGCAAGGCUGAAACUUAAAGGAAUUGACGGAAGGGCACCACCAGGAGCGGAGCCUGCGGCUUAAUUUGACUCAACACGGGGAAACUCACCAGGUCCAGACAUAAUAAGGAUUGACAGGUUGAUAGCUCUUUCUUGAUUUUAUGGGUGGUGGUGCAUGGCCGUUCUUAGUUCGUGGAGUGAUUUGUCUGCUUAAUUGCGUUAACGAA
RNAcentral lists this ribosomal RNA (712 nucleotides) under uncultured marine alveolate. Its description in RNAcentral is "SSU rRNA". It matches the Rfam family "Eukaryotic small subunit ribosomal RNA", at positions 617 to 1335 of the family's 1831-position model. The record is from RNAcentral.